Molecule: ribosomal RNA, 375 nt
Filed under: uncultured bacterium
Lineage: Bacteria
Description: bacterial SSU rRNA
Rfam family: Bacterial small subunit ribosomal RNA
Source: RNAcentral
UAAUACGUAGGGGGCUAGCGUUGUCCGGAAUCAUUGGGCGUAAAGCGCGCGUAGGCGGCCCGGUAAGUCCGCUCUGAAAGUCCAGGGCUCAACCCUGGAAAGCGGGUGGAUACUGUCGGGCUAGAGUCCGGAAGAGGCGAGUGGAAUUCCUGGUGUAGCGGUGGAAUGCGCAGAUAUCAGGAGGAACACCAACAGCGAAGGCAGCUCGCUGGGACGGUACUGACGCUGAGGCGCGAAAGCGUGGGGAGCGAACAGGAUUAGAUACCCUGGUAGUCCACGCCGUAAACGAUGGAUGCUAGCCGUUGGCAGGCUUGCCUGUCAGUGGCGCAGCUAACGCAUUAAGCAUCCCGCCUGGGGAGUACGGUCGCAAGAUUA